RNAcentral lists this ribosomal RNA (421 nucleotides) under uncultured eukaryote. Its description in RNAcentral is "SSU rRNA". It matches the Rfam family "Eukaryotic small subunit ribosomal RNA", at positions 592 to 1018 of the family's 1831-position model. The record is from RNAcentral.
CAAUAGCGUAUAUUAAAGUUGUUGCAGUUAAAAAGCUCGUAGUCGGAUUUUGGCAUCAUGCCGAACUGUCGGCCGAUUGGUUUGUACGGUUUGGCGGGUGCUCUCCUUCCGGAGGCUCGUUUCCUCUUUCAUUAGAGGGUUCGAUGGUUCCGGGUCUUUUACUUGAAAAAAUUGAGUUGUUCAAAGCAGGCCUAUGCUCUGAAUAGGUUAGCAUGGAAUAAUGAAUAGGACUUUGGUUCUAUUUUGUUGGUUUCUAGGACCGAAGUAAUGAUUAAUAGGGACAGUUGGGGGCAUUCAUAUUCCAUUGUCAGAGGUGAAAUUCUUGGAUUAACGGAAGAUGAACUUCUGCGAAAGCAUCUGCCAAGGAUGUUUUCAUUGAUCAAGAACGAAAGUUAGGGGAUCGAAGAUGAUUAGAUACCAU